Molecule: ribosomal RNA, 301 nt
Filed under: uncultured bacterium
Lineage: Bacteria
Description: partial 16S ribosomal RNA
Rfam family: Bacterial small subunit ribosomal RNA
Source: RNAcentral
CAGUAGCCGCGGUAAUACGUAGGGUGCGAGCGUUAAUCGGAAUUACUGGGCGUAAAGCGUGCGCAGGCGGUUGUGUAAGACAGGUGUGAAAUCCCCGGGCUUAACCUGGGGACUGCGCUUGUGACUGCACAGCUAGAGUAUGGCAGAGGGGGGUGGAAUUCCACGUGUAGCAGUGAAAUGCGUAGAGAUGUGGAGGAACACCGAUGGCGAAGGCAGCCCCCUGGGCCAAUACUGACGCUCAUGCACGAGAGCGUGGGGAGCAAACAGGAUUAGAUACCCCUGUAGUCCCUGUCUCUUAUAC